UUAUAUUUUAAUCUUCACCCUCCCAUCCCUGAAAUAAACCUGACGGUGAACUCAAUAUCAGGUUAUCGUUGCUCUGGUUAAACGUGGUGUUAUGAAGUAAGAUCAAAUAUAAAUGGCGAGUAAGAUUUUCAAGUACUAUCAUGAUCAACUCUGGCUAUUUACAAAUGAAUCUUCGCUCAACGAAGUCAUCCGACUGUUCGACGAAUGGGCAGAACAAUAUGAUCAGGUAACACGGAGCGUUGAUCAUUAGACAGGGAACUGGUGGUA
Long non-coding RNA from Pocillopora damicornis (cauliflower coral), 267 nucleotides. The record is from RefSeq and is a predicted model, not a curated record. NCBI's taxonomy places the organism in Eukaryota, Metazoa, Cnidaria, Anthozoa, Scleractinia, Pocilloporidae.